GUGUCAGCCGCCGCGGUAAGACGGAGGAGGCGAGCGUUAUCCGGAUUUACUGGGCGUCAAGGGCGCGUAGGCGGCCUGACAGGUCGUGGGUGAAAGCCCCGGGCUCAACCCGGGGAGGUCCCGCGAUACCAUCAGGCUUGAGGAUCGUAGAGGGGGGCGGAAUGUCCGGUGGAGCGGUGGAAUGCGUAGAUAUCGGACGGAACACCCGAGGCGAAGGCGGCCCCCUGGGCGAUACCUGACGCUGAGGCGCGAAAGCGUGGGGAGCAAAGCGGAUUAGAAACCCGCGUAGUCC
RNAcentral lists this ribosomal RNA (292 nucleotides) under uncultured bacterium. Its description in RNAcentral is "partial 16S ribosomal RNA". It matches the Rfam family "Bacterial small subunit ribosomal RNA", at positions 505 to 796 of the family's 1533-position model. The record is from RNAcentral.